GGCUGGUCCGAAGGCAGUGGUUGCCACCAUUAAUUGAUUACAGACAGUUACAGACUUCUUUGUUCCCCUCCCACUGCUUCCCUUGACUAGCCUUUU
Molecule: Y RNA, 96 nt
Filed under: Xenopus laevis (African clawed frog)
Lineage: Eukaryota; Metazoa; Chordata; Amphibia; Anura; Pipidae
Rfam family: Y RNA
About the family: Y RNAs are components of the Ro ribonucleoprotein particle (Ro RNP), in association with Ro60 and La proteins.
Source: Rfam by way of RNAcentral